GUACACUCCUACGGGAGGCAGCAGUGGGGAAUAUUGCACAAUGGGCGCAAGCCUGAUGCAGCCAUGCCGCGUGUAUGAAGAAGGCCUUCGGGUUGUAAAGUACUUUCAGCGGGGAGGAAGGCAAUACGGUUAAUAACCGUGUUGAUUGACGUUACCCGCAGAAGAGGCACCGGCUAACUCCGUGCCAGCAGCCGCGGUAAUACGGAGGGUGCAAGCGUUAAUCGGAAUUACUGGGCGUAAAGCGCACGCAGGCGGUCUGUCAAGUCGGAUGUGAAAUCCCCGGGCUCAACCUGGGAACUGCAUUCGAAACUGGCAGGCUUGAGUCUUGUAGAGGGGGGUAGAAUUCCAGGUGUAGCGGUGAAAUGCGUAGAGAUCUGGAGGAAUACCGGUGGCGAAGGCGGCCCCCUGGACAAAGACUGACGCUCAGGUGCGAAAGCGUGGGGAGCAAACAGGAUUAGAUACCCCAGUAGUCCCAUGA
RNAcentral lists this ribosomal RNA (478 nucleotides) under uncultured organism. Its description in RNAcentral is "partial 16S ribosomal RNA". It matches the Rfam family "Bacterial small subunit ribosomal RNA", at positions 331 to 800 of the family's 1533-position model. The record is from RNAcentral.